This 119-nucleotide ribosomal RNA is filed under the name Helianthus annuus (common sunflower). The record is from RNAcentral. Lineage: Eukaryota; Viridiplantae; Streptophyta; Magnoliopsida; Asterales; Asteraceae.
GGUUGCGAUCAUACCAGCACUAAUGCACCGUAUCCCAUCAGAACUCCGCAGUUAAGCGUGCUUGGGCGAGAGUAGUACUAGGAUGGGUGACCCACUGGGAAGUCCUCGUGUUGCAACCC